Molecule: ribosomal RNA, 430 nt
Filed under: Bacillota bacterium
Lineage: Bacteria; Bacillati; Bacillota
Description: Firmicutes bacterium partial 16S ribosomal RNA
Rfam family: Bacterial small subunit ribosomal RNA
Source: RNAcentral
UGGGGAAUAUUGGACAAUGGGCGAAAGCCUGAUCCAGCCAUGCCGCGUGUGUGAAGAAGGCCUUUUGGUUGUAAAGCACUUUAAGCGAGGAGGAGGCUACUUAGAUUAAUACUCUAGGAUAGUGGACGUUACUCGCAGAAUAAGCACCGGCUAACUCUGUGCCAGCAGCCGCGGUAAUACAGAGGGUGCGAGCGUUAAUCGGAUUUACUGGGCGUAAAGCGUGCGUAGGCGGCUUUUUAAGUCGGAUGUGAAAUCCCUGAGCUUAACUUAGGAAUUGCAUUCGAUACUGGGAAGCUAGAGUAUGGGAGAGGAUGGUAGAAUUACAGGUGUAGCGGUGAAAUGCGUAGAGAUCUGGAGGAAUACCGAUGGCGAAGGCAGCCAUCUGGCCUAAUACUGACGCUGAGGUACGAAAGCAUGGGGAGCAAACAGG